This is a non-coding RNA of Diatrype stigma, 103 nucleotides long. The record is from the annotation of a GenBank genome assembly. NCBI's taxonomy places the organism in Eukaryota, Fungi, Ascomycota, Sordariomycetes, Xylariales, Diatrypaceae.
GCCGGCUUGGAGCAGUGGAAGCUCGCUGGCCUCCGAUUGGAGUCAUCCGACAUUCCAAAUCAUCGAAAGCCAGAGGUCGCCGGUUCGAAUCCGGCAGUCGGUG